This 443-nucleotide ribosomal RNA is filed under the name uncultured bacterium. Its description in RNAcentral is "partial 16S ribosomal RNA". It matches the Rfam family "Bacterial small subunit ribosomal RNA", at positions 338 to 795 of the family's 1533-position model. The record is from RNAcentral.
CCUACGGGAGGCAGCAGUGGGGAAUAUUGGGCAAUGGGCGCAAGCCUGACCCAGCAACGCCGCGUGAAGGAAGAAGGCUUUCGGGUUGUAAACUUCUUUUGUCAGGGACGAAGCCAGUGACGUUACCUGACGAAUAAGCCACGGCUAACUACGUGCCAGCAGCCGCGGUAAUACGUAGGUGGCAAGCGUUAUGCGGAUUUACUGGGUGUAAAGGGCGUGUAGGCGGGACUGCAAGUCAGAUGUGAAAACCACGGGCUCAACCUGUGGCCUGCAUUUGAAACUGUAGUUCUUGAGUACUGGAGAGGCAGACGGAAUUCCUAGUGUAGCGGUGAAAUGCUUAGAUAUCACGAAGAACUCCGAUUGUGAAGGCAGCUCACUGGAUUGCAACUGACACUGAGGCUCGAAAGUGUGGGUAUCAAACAGGAUUAGAUACCCCUGUAGUC